CCAACCGUGGCGGGCCCGAAAACGAAAACUCUCAGCAGUCCCCAUCAGCCCUCAGCUUUCUUCCCUCCCUUCUUUCUUUCGUAUUCGGCGUCGUGGAAGCCUCCGCCCGCUUCGACUCCUCGCCGGGUUCCGAACCGCUCCAACCAAAGAAGGAAAGGCUUGGGUCCGCAGGAGAGCUUAGAAAUACCUUCCUCUCUCCUCUUUUAUAGUCCCGUUCUUCCGAUUGAUCGGCCGCGAUCCGCUGCUGCUCUGCCGCUCGUCUUCAUCUGCUUGUAGAUGGCGACAGUUCUCUUGCGAUACAUAUAUAGAGAUAGCUUUGGAUGGUAGAUGGUCGUAAUAGACCGGAGAUGGAAUUGGUCGUGAGGGCCAGUCCCCGGGUGAAGCCCCUGCUUCUCAACCUGGGCGUCGCUCUCGCUCUUUCCUUCGCUGGAUUUCUCGUAUACCACCUCCGGUCUCGAUCCCGGCCUCCCGCCUCUUCAGCAGCUGGUGGGAAGCCAUCUUGUGGCCUCAAAGAAGAACUCCGUAUCCGGAAAAAUGAAGAAACAUUGGCUAAGAUCAUUAAUGGGACUUCCACCACCACCACCACUACAACUACAACAACAACUACUUUUGUGGGGCUUUCUCCGACGAGGAAGUGUUCGGGAGAUGAGAAGGGAUUCCUCUUGCCGGAUUUUAAUGAUCUCGUGUCAAAAGAAUUUCAGGCAGGUGUGCGAGAUGUCGAAACCACCCCAACCACCUCGACACCGAAGUUGGAGAGCAAAGAGGAGACGGCAAUGGAGCAAGAGAUUGCACACCUAAGGAAAUUGGUAUGGUCCCUCCGGGAGAGGGAGAGCAGUCUGGAGCUGCAACUCCUUGAAUACUAUGGAAUGAAAGAGCAAGAGGCUGCCAUGACAGAGCUUGAGAACCAGUUGAAGAUCAACUCGAUGGAAACCAAGUUGUACUCUAUAAAGGUCAACUCUUUGCAGGCUGAAAAUCUGAGGCUCCAAUCUAAGGUGUCGGAUUACUCGAGAGUGAUGGCUGAGCUCAAUGCAGCGAGAGCAAAGAUUCAACUUCUGAACAAGAAGUUGAAAUCAGAUGCAGAACAGGCAAAGGAGAGAAUAGCUUCCCUUCACCAGAGGAUCAGUGUGUUGCAAUGCAGGGAGCAGAAGGAUGGAAAAAAUGAUGAAGAGGUUGAGAGGAAGUUGGGGAGGUUGAAGGAGUUGGAAAAUGAAGUUACAGAGCUAAGAGUGGUUAAUUCAAAGCUCGAACGGGAGAAUUCCGACUUAGCACAGCGAUUGGAGGCCACACAAAUUCUUGCAUCUUCUCUUCUUGAGGGUCCGGAGCCCAAGACACUGGACGAAAUCAAUCAAUUGAGACAAGCAAAUGACAAGUUAACAAAGGACUUUGAGCAGCUCCGGACCGAUCGUUGUGCUGAUGUUGAGGAAUUGGUGUAUCUUAGAUGGGUCAAUGCUUGUCUCCGGUAUGAGCUGAGGAACUAUCAAGCCCCUCCAGGAAAAACAGUUGCAAGAGAUCUGAGCAAGAGUUUGAGUCCCAAGUCAGAGGAGAAGGCCAAACAGCUCAUAUUGGAAUAUGCGAAUUCUGGUGCCGAUGAGAAGAGCUUGAGUCUUGCUGACUUUGACUCAGAGUACUCUUCUUCUUCACAAGCAUCCAAUGGAGAACCUGAUGACGGUUGCAUUGAUUUCUCCAUGACAAAGCAUAACAGUUCAAAGAAAUCAAAAUUUUUUAGCAAGCUUAAGAAGCUGGUCUUGGGGAAAGGUGCACACACAAACAAAAUUUCAUCUUCAGAUCGAACUUCCUCAAGCUAUGGUAAUUCUGAAAAAAGGGUAUCAUUUUCCACCUUUUCCAUGGAUGAAAUGAUCGGAAGAGAUUCGUGCAAUAGCCUUUCUUCAUGCUUCAUGGAUGAACCUGGCCACACCAAUCAAUUGGCAGGAAUAGAAGCACAACCGGAUGAACAGCACCAGAGUAAGGUUGCUCAGUUUCAGAAUCACUCUAGGCCCUCUUUGGAUAUCCAAAGACUAAGGAAGCUCAACCUCGAAGAAGUUUGUCGGAAUGAUGAUGAGACAUCAUAUCGGUGCAAGAGCAUGGACUCCCAAGAGGAGAGAUCAAUUAAUUUGUCUCAGAAUAAUAGUCCACUUGACCAUAAACACACCAAUGUUCCUGGAGAGAUCGAGCUUAUGAAGUAUGCAGAUGCUUUGAAGAGCGCACGAGAGGCAGAUAAGUUCAUGAGGAGAUCAUCAUCCUUUAGUAGCCGAUGCUAAUUUUUGUCGAAAUUACUUAAGAGCUUGACAUGGUAUGGCUGCCAAAACAAUCAACCCAAUCUUGCCUUCUGUGGAUGAUAUCAGGAAUGGAGUUGUCUAACAACCAGAAAAUGGUAGUUGCAGUUUGCACUGGGGAACAGUUUGGAUGGCUAAAACUCCCACAAGUGGCAAAUACAAAGCGCAAGCAAUCAUUCUCUACGUACUCAGAUCAUUCUUUUCUUCAACUUAUCGCAAGUCAAUCUAACUUCACAACAUUGGUCAUGAAGUUGUAAGCGUAAGCAAUAAGAGCUUUCCAGAUUCAGUGAUGCUGACUCAAU
This is an RNA transcript of Elaeis guineensis (African oil palm), 2575 nucleotides long. It is a transcript of the gene named protein CHUP1, chloroplastic, with no coding region annotated. The record is from RefSeq and is a predicted model, not a curated record. Lineage: Eukaryota; Viridiplantae; Streptophyta; Magnoliopsida; Arecales; Arecaceae.